Molecule: ribosomal RNA, 253 nt
Filed under: uncultured bacterium
Lineage: Bacteria
Description: partial 16S ribosomal RNA
Rfam family: Bacterial small subunit ribosomal RNA
Source: RNAcentral
UACGUAGGGUGCGAGCGUUGAUCGGAAUUACUGGGCGUAAAGUGUGCGCAGGCGGCUUCGCAAGUCGAGUGUGAAAUCCCCGGGCUUAACUUGGGAAUUGCGCUCGAAACUACGGAGCUGGAGUGUGGCAGAGGAAGGUGGAAUUCCACGUGUAGCGGUGAAAUGCGUAGAGAUGUGGAGGAACACCGAUGGCGAAGGCAGCCUUCUGGGCCAACACUGACGCUCAUGCACGAAAGCGUGGGGAGCAAACAGG